GACGAACGCUGGCGGCGUGCUUAACACAUGCAAGUCGAACGGAAAGGCCCUGCUUUUGUGGGGUGCUCGAGUGGCGAACGGGUGUGUAACACGUGAGUAACCUGCCCUUGACUUUGGGAUAACUUCAGGAAACUGGGGCUAAUACCGGAUAGGAGCUCCUGCUGCAUGGUGGGGGUUGGAAAGUUUCGGCGGUUGGGGAUGGACUCGCGGCUUAUGAGCUUGUUGGUGGGGUAGUGGCUUUCCAAGGCUUUGACGGGUAGCCGGCCUGGGAGGGUGGCCGGCCACAUUGGGACUGCGAUACGGACCAGACGGCUACGGGAGGCAGCAGUGGGGAAUAUUGCACAAUGGGGGGAAGCCUGAUGCAGCAACGCCGCGUGCGGGAUGACGGCCUACGGGUGGUAAACCGAUUUCGCCGGUGACGAAGAGGGAGUGACGGUAACGGGUAAAGAAGCACCGGCUAACUACGUG
Molecule: ribosomal RNA, 468 nt
Filed under: uncultured bacterium
Lineage: Bacteria
Description: partial 16S ribosomal RNA
Rfam family: Bacterial small subunit ribosomal RNA
Source: RNAcentral